This 376-nucleotide long non-coding RNA is filed under the name Brassica napus (rape). RNAcentral's name for it is "long non-coding RNA (BNAP_LNC014828)". The record is from RNAcentral. Lineage: Eukaryota; Viridiplantae; Streptophyta; Magnoliopsida; Brassicales; Brassicaceae.
AACUCAAGUUCUUCUUUUUCUCUAAGAACACAAACAAUGGCCUCUGCAGACAAACCCAUAAACACAGACGUCCCUGAAAAGGAUGUUUUUGCCCUCCACUUCCUCCAAUCCCUCUCAAAUCUCAGAAGACAAAACACUUUCGAUUCUCCUGAAAAAACAAACGAUCGUGUUAAGAAAAUCAAGAAGGCUGCGUAUGUAUCCAUGGCCAGAGCAGCCGGAGGGACUAACCGGCUGUGGAGCAGAGCCCUCUUGCGCCGAGCCGCCAAAGAAAACAAUAAAGUCGUCAGGUUUCCUAGGAGGAAGAAGAGGGUGACGUGUCUGAGGAGGAGGAGUAACCGGAGAGAUCCAGUGGAGGAGGAGGAAGCGGAGAGGCUGA